AGCAUGGUACCGCCCCCUCAUUAGCAUAUCACCGGCCAACUGACGCCAGGUGCAAAAACUGCGCAUGCGCAGUACCGUUGUUCACCACUGGAGGGCGCCCUACAGGAACUCACUUCUCUCUGUGCCUGGCUCUGGAUGAGAUGUGACUGGCUGCUUUACCGUCCCGUUGUGACUUAUCUGCAGUGUUGGGGUGUAACCUGGAGCUGUAAAGGAUGGAGCUGCUGAUUAUCUCUCCAUCCAAGGCACACAGUUGUGAGUGCGUUGUCCAUCAUUAACUUACAAUGACUGUGCGCAGCUCGCCCAUACCUCCGUUCCCUCACCAUUCUAAAUUCAGGACCAGAGUUCAGGAGUGGAUGGAGCUACAAAAGCUGACCGAAGGACCCUGAAACCAGGUGACCCAGAUAAGGCCCAGUCACCAACACUAACCUCCUUGCUUAACCCCUUAUGACAGAAUGUGAUCGGUCAAUGCAACAGCCCACCUGGCUUCCCCCUCGCUUUGUGUUCCCCUAUAAAAAUGUUGCAUAAUCUGUCUUGGGGGACAUGGCUCAGAGUUUGAACUGGCUGCCGCCCCAUGCAUACAGAAAAUAAAGCUUUCAUUUCUAA
This is a non-coding RNA of Rattus norvegicus (Norway rat), 603 nucleotides long. The record is from RefSeq and is a predicted model, not a curated record. Lineage: Eukaryota; Metazoa; Chordata; Mammalia; Rodentia; Muridae.